UACGUAGGGGGCUAGCGUUGUCCGGAUUUAUUGGGCGUAAAGAGCGUGUAGGCGGCCAGGUAGGUCUGGUGUGAAAACUCGAGGCUUAACCUCGAGAUGUCAUCGGAAACCAUCUGGCUAGAGUCCGGAAGAGGAGAGUGGAAUUCCUGGUGUAGCGGUGAAAUGCGCAGAUAUCAGGAAGAACACCAAUGGCGAAAGCAGCUCUCUGGGACGGUACUGACGCUGAGGAGCGAAAGCGUGGGGAGCAAACAGG
Molecule: ribosomal RNA, 253 nt
Filed under: uncultured bacterium
Lineage: Bacteria
Description: partial 16S ribosomal RNA
Rfam family: Bacterial small subunit ribosomal RNA
Source: RNAcentral